Long non-coding RNA from Eriocheir sinensis (Chinese mitten crab), 317 nucleotides. RefSeq lists it as uncharacterized. The transcript has 3 exons. The record is from RefSeq and is a predicted model, not a curated record. NCBI's taxonomy places the organism in Eukaryota, Metazoa, Arthropoda, Malacostraca, Decapoda, Varunidae.
AGGUUAGGUUAGGUUCAGGGCAGCAAAGACUUGUGCCAGACCCUAUCGAAUGCUCUAAUGAUGUCUGGUCCGCUAACUGUUUCUCUUGAGUGUGGGGAGGUUAGGUUAAGUUAGGUUAGGUUAGGUUAGGUUAGGUUAGGUUAGGUUCAGGGCAGCAGAGACUUGUGCCAGACCCUAUCGAAUGCUCUAAUGAUGUCUGGUCCGCUAACUGUUUCUCUUGAGUGUGGGGAGGUUAGGUUAAGUUAGGUUAGGUUAGGUUAGGUUCAGGGCAGCAAAGACUUGUGCCAGACCUUAUUGAAUGCUCUAAUGAUGUCUGG